This 406-nucleotide ribosomal RNA is filed under the name uncultured bacterium. RNAcentral's name for it is "partial 16S ribosomal RNA". It matches the Rfam family "Bacterial small subunit ribosomal RNA", at positions 29 to 526 of the family's 1533-position model. The record is from RNAcentral.
AUUGAACGCUGGCGGCAGGCCUAACACAUGCAAGUCGAACGAGCGGCGGACGGGUGAGUAAUGUCUGGGAAACUGCCUGAUGGAGGGGGAUAACUACUGGAAACGGUAGCUAAUACCGCAUACCCUCGGAUGUGCCCAGAUGGGAUUAGCUAGUAGGUGGGGUAAAGGCUCACCUAGGCGACGAUCCCUAGCUGGUCUGAGAGGAUGACCAGCCACACUGGAACUGAGACACGGUCCAGACCCCUACGGGAGGCAGCCGUGGGGAAGAUUGCACAAUGGGCGCAAGCCUGAUGCAGCCAUGCCGCGUGGAUGAAGAAGGCCUUCGGGUUGUAAAGUACUUUCAGCGGGGAGGCGUUACCGGCAGAAGAAGCACCGGCUAACUCCGUGCCAGCAGCCGCGGUAAUAC